This 500-nucleotide ribosomal RNA is filed under the name uncultured bacterium. RNAcentral's name for it is "partial 16S ribosomal RNA". It matches the Rfam family "Bacterial small subunit ribosomal RNA", at positions 30 to 523 of the family's 1533-position model. The record is from RNAcentral.
AUUGAACGCUGGCGGAAUGCUUUACACAUGCAAGUCGAACGGCAGCACGGACUUCGGUCUGGUGGCGAGUGGCGAACGGGUGAGUAAUGUAUCGGAACGUGCCCAGUCGUGGGGGAUAACAUAGUGAAAAUUACGCUAAUACCGCAUACGAUCUAUGGAUGAAAGCGGGGGAUCGCAAGACCUCGCGCGAUUGGAGCGGCCGAUAUCAGAUUAGGUAGUUGGUGGGGUAAAGGCCCACCAAGCCAACGAUCUGUAGCCGGUCUGAGAGGACGACCAGCCACACUGGAACUGAGACACGGUCCAGACUCCUACGGGAGGCAGCAGUGGGGAAUUUUGGACAAUGGGCGAAAGCCUGAUCCAGCCAUUCCGCGUGCAGGAUGAAGGCCCUCGGGUUGUAAACUGCUUUUGUACAGAACGAAAAGGUUUCUACUAAUACUAGGAGCUCAUGACGGUACUGUAAGAAUAAGCACCGGCUAACUACGUGCCAGCCGCCGCGGUAA